GACGAACGCUGGCGGCGUGCUUAACACAUGCAAGUCGAACGGAAAGGCCCUGCUUUUGUGGGGUGCUCGAGUGGCGAACGGGUGAGUAACACAUGAGUAACCUUCCCUUGACUUUAGGAUAACUUCAGGAAACUGGGGAUAACACCGGCUAGGAGCUCCUGCUGCAGGGUGGGGGUUGGAAAGUUUCGGCGGUUGGGGAUGGACUCGCGGCUUAUCAGCUUGUUGGUGGGGUAGUGGCUUACCAAGGCUUUGACGGGUGGCCGGCCUGAGAGAGUGACCGGGCACAUGGGGACUGCGAUACGGAGCAGACGGCAACGGUAGGCAGUAGUGGAGAGUAUUGCACAAUGGGCGGGAGCCUGUGGCAGCAACGCUGCGUGCGGGAUGACGGCCUUGGGGUUGUAAAGCGCUGUCGCCUGUGACGAAGCGUGAGUGACGGUAAUGGGUAAAGAAGCACCGGCUAACUACGUG
Molecule: ribosomal RNA, 468 nt
Filed under: uncultured bacterium
Lineage: Bacteria
Description: partial 16S ribosomal RNA
Rfam family: Bacterial small subunit ribosomal RNA
Source: RNAcentral